GACGAACGCUGGCGGCGUGCUUAACACAUGCAAGUCGAACGGAAAGGCCCUGCGUUUGCGGGGUGCUCGAGUGCCGAACGCGUGAGUAACACGCGAGUAACCUGCCCCUGACUUUGGGAUAACUUCACGAAACUGGGGCUAUAACCGGAUAUGAGCUCCUGCUGCACGGUGUGCGUUGGAAAGUUUCGGCGGUUGGGGAUGGACUCGCGGCUUCUCAGCUUGAUGGUGGGGUAGGUGCUUACCACGGCUUUGACGGGUAGCCGGCCUGAGAGGGUUGACGGCCACAAUGGGACUGAGAUACGGCCCAGACUCCUACGGGACGCAGCAGUGGGGAAUAUUGCACAAUGGGCGGAAGCCUGAUGCAGCAACGCCGCGUGCGGGAUGACGGCCUUCGGGUUGUAAACCACUUUCGCCUGUGACGAAGCGUGAGUGACGGUAAUGGGUAAAGAAGCACCGGCUAACUACGUG
RNAcentral lists this ribosomal RNA (468 nucleotides) under uncultured bacterium. RNAcentral's name for it is "partial 16S ribosomal RNA". It matches the Rfam family "Bacterial small subunit ribosomal RNA", at positions 28 to 507 of the family's 1533-position model. The record is from RNAcentral.